GUGCCAGCCGCCGCGGUGAUACGGAGGGUGCAAGCGUUGUCCGGAGUCACUGGGCGUAAAGGGUGCGCAGGCGGGGCCGCAAGUCGGAGGUGAAAGCCCAUGGCUCAACCAUGGAAGUGCCUUCGAAACUGUUGCUCUUGAGUCCCGGAGAGGCUGUCGGAAUUCGUGGUGUAGCGGUGAAAUGCGUAGAUAUCACGAGGAACACCGGAGGCGAAAGCGGACAGCUGGACGGGUACUGACGCUCAGGCACGAAAGCGUGGGGAGCAAACAGGAUUAGAAACCCUAGUAGUCC
RNAcentral lists this ribosomal RNA (292 nucleotides) under uncultured bacterium. Its description in RNAcentral is "partial 16S ribosomal RNA". It matches the Rfam family "Bacterial small subunit ribosomal RNA", at positions 505 to 796 of the family's 1533-position model. The record is from RNAcentral.